UUCAUCUUGUGCUGUCCUUGGGUCUCUUCUCAACGUGCCUGCCAGAGGGACCACUUCCCUGUGUCAGCCUCCCAGGGCUCCUCUCUUAUCAGAGAGCCGAUGGAGGCCUCUUUAAGAGCUGCAACUACGCAUUCAGUAGUUGAAAAGGGGCAGACAGUAAACAGUCCUGGGUUCUCAUAGACUCUAAGACGCGGGUGUUCAAUGCUGACAGGACUUUCAUUAUACACCUCUCUAUAAUUUUCUGCUUAGAAUGCAUUGGUUUUCCCAACUUGGCAUCCUUCUUUAAUGAAAAAAUUAUAGGCCUAAUUUCAAAAAAUGAAAUGUAUGCAAGCUUUCCUGCUUCUGCCACUUCUUUAUUCCUGUAGCACAUAAAUCAUUUCCCUUUUUAAAAUUAAAUUUCGCUUGCCAUGAUUUGGUAAUGGGUUUUCAAAGGAGGCAGAGUAGCCAAGCUCUUGGCACAAGAGCUGCCUGCACCGCUUGCUCAGGAAAUCUUCUCAUUGCUGUCUGGCAGGGGCCGCGAUUCCAUCAUCUGGGCUUCAUACUCCCCUUGGAAGUUGCCUAGGAACUCUCUCCCUAACGAUUCCUUCUCUGAAUGGCCUUUUGGGCCCUCCAGCUGCCAUCUUGGAAGCCUGACGAACAGAUAGAAUUUGGGCAGAAAAAGACUAGUGCAUUCUUGCACUCCUUGGGUGUUUACUCAUUCAUUUAUGAGCACUGACUAUGUAUAAGGCAGAAGUCCAGGCGUUGUGGGGACACUAGCCUCGAGAGACUUAAACACCAAAUUGUCUGAGAUAAGACAUGGAGCAGUGGUCCACUACAAAUACUAUUUGUAAUCCUCUUAGCAGCCCUGCAUUUUUACCCAUGAGCAACCUCAGAGAGGUUAAGCACCUUCUACAGGGUCAUAGGCCUGGCAUGGCACUGACAGAGCUUUGCUAAUCUUGCACACACACUCAGGCCUGCUGCCCCCGAUGGGCACACUUUGGCCCUACAGAGUGAGAAAAGCAUGCAGUUAAGAGUCAAAAGUUACUUUGAGGCUUGGAAAAAAAAAAAAGAUAUCUGCCAAAGCUUUGUAAAUGGGAAAGCUUUGCCAGGUAAUAGGCCCUGGGAUUUGAUCUGUAAGGGCUAAUUGGAGGGAAGAGAGGCGUGAACGAGGGCCCGAUGUCAAGGGAAGCUUCUCAGAGGAGGUGCAUCUCCAACUGGACCUUGAAAGAUUCAAGUAGGAGGAAGUUAUUUCAGGUGAGGAUGUGGAAAUGACUUAGACUUUGAAACCCAAAGAAAGAGACUGUUUCCUGUGCCGUUUUUAGCUUUCAGCAUAGACAAAAAGCAGCCUCCACAAGCAAAACUCUUUUCUUCCUAGAUGUUACGUUCCCCUGAGAUGGCAUGCGCUCCCCAGUUCUUCUCUCACAGACCCUGUUGUGGUUGGGACCCGAGGGAGGCCUCUUGGAAGGAAAAUCAACUUGUCUUUUAUUAAGUCGGAUCUUUCCCUGGGGUCUAUAAGAAAGAAAAGGAGGGAUGGACCAACUUCACAGUAGGAGAUGAAGGCGUGAGAUGCUUGCUUGAUUUCCUGACUUCUUUAAAGGGUCUCGCUAAGUUGCUAGAUUGCUCAUCCUGGGCUUCAACUGGUGAUCCUUUUCCCUAGCUUCCCAUAGUCCUGGGAUUGCAAGGAUGUGCUACCAUACCCAGCAUCACUGCAAGGAAGUUCACAUGAACCAUCACUUUGCAAGGACGGCAACACCAGCUAAGAAAUGGGCUCAGAGUCACAUCAUGAGUAAGUGGUCAAGCUGGAUUCCAGUUCAGGUUUAUCUGGCUGCAAAGCUGGCAUGCUUGUCCUCUCUGAUGUUGCAUCCCUGCAUAUCAGCAAAAAUCUCAUCAGUAUCUCAAUUCCUCUCCCUGCAUACCAUCGACAGUCUCAUCAAUGUUAAUCUCUUUCCAUCCAGGCUUUUCCUAAAACAUUCAUAUUUACUUAAGAACAUUUUCAUAUCUUAAAUGUUUGAUUAUUAUAAAGUAAACAUUUCUCUAUGUUAGUAUAAACAUUUUAUGAACACCAUUUUAAUAGUUGCAUAAUAUUGCAUAAAAUAAAUUUAUCAAAGUUUACAUAGUCUCGUCUGGAGAUGUUUAGAUCAUUUCCUCCCUGGUUUGGUUUUGGUGUUGUGUAUAAUAUGUAAUUAACACCAUGGUGGACAUCUUUAUAUGUAAAAGUAUCAGCAUUUUGAUGAUUUUGCUGUGAAAGACUCUUGGCAUCUCUUACUGCUAGAAUUAUUUUCCUUUUAAGCAAAAGCAAAGAUAUCAGAUAAUCAGAGCCUUCUGUCAAUUGAGUGUCUCCCGAACCUCCUUAUAGUGCUGGUGGAGGGAACCAGGAACCAGUGUGUAGAAUAAAGAUCCAGAGCUUCUGCAUACCUGUGGAGCACAGCGCAUACUGUGCUUAGGCAAGAAAGUGAACUCGGACAAAGAUUCGUGUCUGCGUUAUCUUCUGAAGAUCUCACUGAAAAUUUGAUUCUUCAUUUCUCUUUUAGACCUCUUCAAGUUGAAUAAACAAUAUCCCACUACCAAAGUUUUUUAA
Long non-coding RNA from Chinchilla lanigera (long-tailed chinchilla), 2557 nucleotides. RefSeq lists it as uncharacterized. Lineage: Eukaryota; Metazoa; Chordata; Mammalia; Rodentia; Chinchillidae. The record is from RefSeq and is a predicted model, not a curated record. The transcript is spliced from 3 exons.